This 1322-nucleotide long non-coding RNA is filed under the name Helianthus annuus (common sunflower). RNAcentral describes it as "sRNA HanXRQr2_Chr01g0004211". The record is from RNAcentral. Lineage: Eukaryota; Viridiplantae; Streptophyta; Magnoliopsida; Asterales; Asteraceae.
UUGACCCGAUGGACUUUGAUGCUCCGAUUAAACCCUCACCGCGUUGCAGCGGAGUCGAUAAUACAGGCCGAGAACAUAAUUUAAGCCUAAAACGUUAAAAAUCAUAUAUACAUGUGUGUUUAUAUAAUACUUGGAAUGCCCGCACGUUGCGGCGAGAAACAUAUCACUUAGGUUGGUGAGUUUAGGGCUAUGUACAGGGAUGUAGUUUCUGAUGUGGCGUGCGGCGACGAUGGUGGCAGUGCCGUGCCGUGAGAAUAUUAAUCACCAGAAUGGUUUUAGAUUUGCAGCUAUGUACAGCCAAUUUUUGUUGAAGGUAAUAAUAUAACAUAUAAUUUUCCAUGCUGAAGUAAGAUGGGUUGCACAAGAGAAAAAAAACAUAAGAAUGAUAUCAUAUUGGCAUCUUUAUUGCCCCAAGUUAUACAACCACCGUACGACCACUUCAUGCAUCCAAUCCGCCUGUAACACCAAUUCCAUCAAUAAAUAAAUUUAUUUUAUUCAAACAUAGUAUAAAAAAUCCAUAAAAAUAAUUUAGUUUUGAACUUCCUGCCGGAUCUUAUUGAAGAGAAGCAACUCGAUGGAGGGAAGCUUAAAUAGUGCAGGAUUCCACAUUAGAACACCUUAUUGCUCAUAGCAAUAAGCAAUAAUCGGCAAGUGCCAAUAACUAUAGUGCUUAAAUACAUAAUAUUUGAAACUAUAAAACAUGACAGGUUGAUUGAAGCUCUGAAUGGGAUGUCUUAUAGUUUACAAAUCAUAAUUCUUUAAUAAAUCGUUAGAUCAGCCAGUGCUAGUGUGCUACUCAUUGUCCUUAUUUCAACCAAAAGAGUGAUCAGUGGUGCGACUCGCCUCAAUUUCAACUAAACGACAAUCAAGCAUUCCAUACAGGGGUGUUAAUUUCUGACACGACCUGAAAACACGACACAAACCUAACAUGAAAUUCGCGGGUUUAGGUUUAGUCUAAACGGGUUCGGGUCAGUUUCAGGUUCAACCAGCGAACCAGUUUAGGUUAACGGUUUGAGUCAACCUGAGCAGGUUGGCAGGUUGACCCGUUUAACACAUUUAUACUAUAUUAUAUUUUUUACAAUAUGUUUUAUGUCAUAAAUUAAAUGGGAAAAAAAAAAUUCAGGUUGAACGGAUCGUGUUCAGGUACAUAUGAAUGAUACGAUUUUCGGGUUUGGGUCGGAUUCAAGUUCGUGUAUAAUUUUCGGGUUCGGAUCGAGUUGAACCCGCGAACCUGACCCGUUUAUCACCCCUAUUUCCAUAAAAUAGACUGUAAUCAAAAUGUUUUAAUUACUGAUAUCAGCUAUCAACGAUCUAAUCAUAAA